ACAGAAGCGAGUCGGACUGUGCUCGCUGCUCAGCGCCGCACCCGGAGGAUGAGGCUUGCCGUGGGAGCCCUGCUGGUCUGCGCCGUCCUGGGGCUGUGUCUGGCUGUCCCUGAUAAAACUGUGAGAUGGUGUGCAGUGUCGGAGCAUGAGGCCACUAAGUGCCAGAGUUUCCGCGACCAUAUGAAAAGCGUCAUUCCAUCCGAUGGUCCCAGUGUUGCUUGUGUGAAGAAAGCCUCCUACCUUGAUUGCAUCAGGGCCAUUGCGGCAAACGAAGCGGAUGCUGUGACACUGGAUGCAGGUUUGGUGUAUGACGCUUACCUGGCUCCCAAUAACCUGAAGCCUGUGGUGGCAGAGUUCUACGGGUCAAAAGAGGAUCCACAGACUUUCUAUUAUGCUGUUGCUGUGGUGAAGAAGGACAGUGGCUUCCAGAUGAACCAGCUUCGAGGCAAGAAGUCCUGCCACACGGGUCUAGGCAGGUCCGCUGGGUGGAACAUCCCCAUAGGCUUACUUUACUGUGACUUACCUGAGCCACGUAAACCUCUUGAGAAAGCAGUGGCCAAUUUCUUCUCGGGCAGCUGUGCCCCUUGUGCGGAUGGGACGGACUUCCCCCAGCUGUGUCAACUGUGUCCAGGGUGUGGCUGCUCCACCCUUAACCAAUACUUCGGCUACUCGGGAGCCUUCAAGUGAGUGAGAUGUCUGCUGCUCCAUGGUGGCCAAAGUGCCAAAUGUCCUCAGGGUGAGAGUUCUUUGCUAGUCCAAAGCUGAGCCCUGCCUGCCUACAGGGGCAUCAAGGUGGCCUAAUCCCCUCCCAGUGAGUCAGAAGCACAACCUGGGACUCCUAGGCCAAGCCAGCCCAUGUUCCCUUUCAUCUGACCCUGACAAGUAGGUCCUUUUCCUGGGGACCCUUCCUUUCCCCCCAGAGCCCUCAAGCCUGGUCAGUGUCUCCUCUCGGUGGAUCGGGCAGAGCCUGAAAGGACAAUCAUGCCUCUAGUGUCUGGG
Molecule: small RNA, 999 nt
Filed under: Pan troglodytes (chimpanzee)
Lineage: Eukaryota; Metazoa; Chordata; Mammalia; Primates; Hominidae
Description: retained intron
Source: RNAcentral